CCUACGGGUGGCAGCAGUGAGGAAUAUUGGUCAAUGGGCGUAAGCCUGAACCAGCCAAGUCGCGUGAGGGAUGAAGGUUCUAUGGAUCGUAAAACUCUUUUAUAAGGGAAUAAAGUGUGGGACGUGUGCUGGUUGGUAUGUACCUUAUGAAUAAGGAUCGGCUAACUCCGUGCCAGCAUCCGUGGUAAUACGGAAGAGACGAGCGUUCUCCGGAUAGAUUGGGUUUGAAAGGUGCGGAGGCGGAAUGCAAUGACAGCGGUACAAUCGCGGCGCUCAACCUCGCUCCGCCGUUUAAACUGGCGUUCCUGAGUGGGCGAGAAGUAUGCGGAAUGCGUGGUGUAGCGGUGAAAUGCAUAGAUAUCACGCAGAACUCCGAUUGCGAAGGCAGCAUACCGGCGCCCAACUGACGCUGAAGCACG
RNAcentral lists this ribosomal RNA (419 nucleotides) under uncultured bacterium. Its description in RNAcentral is "partial 16S ribosomal RNA". It matches the Rfam family "Bacterial small subunit ribosomal RNA", at positions 338 to 755 of the family's 1533-position model. The record is from RNAcentral.